AUACGGAGGGUGCAAGCGUUAAUCGGAAUUACUGGGCGUAAAGAGUACGUAGGUGGUUUGUUAAGUCAGAUGUGAAAGCCCCGGGCUCAACCUGGGAACUGCAUUUGAAACUGGCAAGCUAGAGUAUGAUAGAGGGGGGUAGAAUUUCUAGUGUAGCGGUGAAAUGCGUAGAUAUUAGAAGGAAUACCAGUGGCGAAGGCGGCCCCCUGGACCAAUACUGACACUGAGGUACGGAAGCGUGGGUAGCGAACAGAAUUAGAAACCCUAGUAGUCC
This 274-nucleotide ribosomal RNA is filed under the name uncultured bacterium. Its description in RNAcentral is "partial 16S ribosomal RNA". It matches the Rfam family "Bacterial small subunit ribosomal RNA", at positions 523 to 796 of the family's 1533-position model. The record is from RNAcentral.